RNAcentral lists this ribosomal RNA (743 nucleotides) under uncultured bacterium. Its description in RNAcentral is "bacterial SSU rRNA". It matches the Rfam family "Bacterial small subunit ribosomal RNA", at positions 28 to 769 of the family's 1533-position model. The record is from RNAcentral.
AUUGAACGCUGGCGGCAUGCCUUACACAUGCAAGUCGAACGGUAACGCGGGGCAACCUGGCGACGAGUGGCGAACGGGUGAGUAAUGCAUCGGAACGUGCCUGGUAGUGGGGGAUAACUGCUCGAAAGAGCAGCUAAUACCGCAUACGACCUGAGGGUGAAAGGGGGAGUCGCAAGACCUCUCGCUAUCAGAGCGGCCGAUGUCGGAUUAGCUAGUUGGUGGGGUAAAAGCCCACCAAGGCGACGAUCCGUAGCUGGUCUGAGAGGACGACCAGCCACACUGGGACUGAGACACGGCCCAGACUCCUACGGGAGGCAGCAGUGGGGAAUUUUGGACAAUGGACGCAAGUCUGAUCCAGCCAUGCCGCGUGCGGGAAGAAGGCCUCGGGUUGUAAACCGCUUUUGUCAGGGAAGAAAUCUUCUGGGCUAAUACCCUGGGAGGAUGACGGUACCUGAAGAAUAAGCACCGGCUAACUACGUGCCAACAGCCGCGGUAAUACGUAGGGUGCAAGCGUUAAUCGGAAUUACUGGGCGUAAAGCGUGCGCAGGCGGUUAUGCAAGACAGGUGUGAAAUCCCCGAGCUCAACUUGGGAACUGCACUUGUGACUGCAUAGCUAGAGUACGGUAGAGGGGAGUGGAAUUCCGCGUGUAGCAGUGAAAUGCGUAGAUAUGCGGAGGAACACCGACGGCGAAGGCAGCUCCCUGGACCUGUACUGACGCUCAUGCACGAAAGCGUGGGGGAGC